RNAcentral lists this small RNA (545 nucleotides) under Pongo abelii (Sumatran orangutan). Its description in RNAcentral is "processed transcript". Lineage: Eukaryota; Metazoa; Chordata; Mammalia; Primates; Hominidae. The record is from RNAcentral.
GAUGCACCUGUGGAGAAACGGCCCCAGAGUUCCAGGAUUCCACCAAUGUGGCUUUCACCAUCUCUAUGCUUUUGGGCAACCUCAACAGCUGCUGCAACCCCUGGAUCUACAUGGGCUUCAACAGCCACCUGUUACCGCGGCCCCUGCGUCACCUUGCCUGCUGUGGGGGUCCCCAGCCCAAGAUGCGCCGGCGGCUCUCUGACGGCAGCCUCUCGAGCCGCCACACCACGCUGCUGACCCGCUCCAGCUGCCCGGCCACCCUCAGCCUCAGCCUCAGCCUAACCCUCAGUGGGAGGCCCAGGCCUGAAGAGUCACCAAGGGACUUGGAGCUGGCAGAUGGGGAAGGCACCGCUGAGACCAUCAUCUUUUAAGAAAGACUUGCUGGGGUCUGGUACUGCCCCCAGGACUAGUGGAGGUUCUCUGCCCACCGAGGGCACUGGACAUGAGAGCGGGGAGGGUAAGGGUUGGAGUUAGAGGAGCCCUGUCUGAAGCGGAGUGAAAAGGCCAGAAUGGACCCCCUACCCUGGUGUUACAGUUGCCCCUAG